GAUGAACGCUGGCGGCGUGCCUAAUACAUGCAAGUCGAGCGAACGGACGCGAAGCUUGCUUCUCUGAUGUUAGCGGCGGACGGGUGAGUAACACGUGGAUAACCUACCUAUAAGACUGGGAUAACCUCGGGAAACCGGAGCUAAUACCGGAUAAUAUUUUGAACCGCAUGGUUCAAAAGUGAAAGACGGUCUUGCUGUCACUUAUAGAUGGAUCCGCGCUGCAUUAGCUAGUUGGUAAGGUAACGGCUUACCAAGGCAACGAUGCAUAGGCGACCUGAGGGGGUGAGCGGCCACACUGGAACUGAGACACGGUCCAGACUCCUACGGGAGGCAGCAGUAGGGAAUCUUCCGCAAUGGGCGAAAGCCUGACGGAGCAACGCCGCGUGAGUGAUGAAGGUCGUCGGAUCGUAAAACUCUGUUAUUGGGGAGGAACAUAUGUGUAAGUAACUGUGCGCAUCUUGACGGUACCUGGGCAGAAAGCCACGGCUAACUACGUG
This 497-nucleotide ribosomal RNA is filed under the name uncultured bacterium. RNAcentral describes it as "partial 16S ribosomal RNA". It matches the Rfam family "Bacterial small subunit ribosomal RNA", at positions 28 to 507 of the family's 1533-position model. The record is from RNAcentral.